GAUGAACGCUGGCGGCGUGCCUAACACAUGCAAGUCGUACGAGCUCGAUCUUCGGAACGGGUUAAGUGGCGCACGGGUGAGUAACACGUAGGUGACCUACCCCAGAGUGGGGGAUAACUUCUCGAAAGAGAGGCUAAUACCGCAUACACUCGGUCAUUCAUUUGGCCGAGCAAAGCUCCGGCGCUUUGGGACGGGCCUGCGUCCGAUUAGCUAGUUGGUAGGGUAAUGGCUUACCAAGGCUUUGAUCGGUAGCUGGUCUGAGAGGACGAUCAGCCACACUGGCACUGACACACGGGCCAGACUCCUACGGGAGGCAGCAGUGAGGAAUAUUGGGCAAUGGGCGAAAGCCUGACCCAGCAACGCCGACGUGAGGGAUGAAGGCCUUCGGGUUGUAAACCUCUUUUACUGGGAGAAGAGACGAAGGACGGUAUCCCAGGAAUAAGUACUCGG
Molecule: ribosomal RNA, 450 nt
Filed under: uncultured bacterium
Lineage: Bacteria
Description: bacterial SSU rRNA
Rfam family: Bacterial small subunit ribosomal RNA
Source: RNAcentral